GAUGAACGCUAGCUACAGGCUUAACACAUGCAAGUCGAGGGCAUCAGGAAGAAAGCUUGCUUUCUUUGCUGGCGACCGGCGCACGGGUGAGUAACACGUAUCCAACCUGCCCUUUACUCGGGGAUAGCCUUUCGAAAGAAAGAUUAAUACCCGAUAGCAUAAUGAUUCCGCAUGGUUUCAUUAUUAAAGGUAUUCCGGUAGACGAUGGGGAUGCGUUCCAUUAGAUAGUAGGCGGGGUAACGGCCCACCUAGUCUUCGAUGGAUAGGGGUUCUGAGAGGAAGGUCCCCCACAUUGGAACUGAGACACGGUCCAAACUCCUACGGGAGGCAGCAGUGAGGAAUACUGGUCAAUGGGCGAGAGCCUGAACCAGCCAAGUAGCGUGAAGGAUGACUGCCCUAUGGGUUGUAAACUUCUUUUAUAAAGGAAUAAAGUCGGGUAUGGAUACCCGUUUGCAUGUACUUUAUGAAUAAGGAUCGGCUAACUCCGUG
This 489-nucleotide ribosomal RNA is filed under the name uncultured bacterium. RNAcentral's name for it is "bacterial SSU rRNA". It matches the Rfam family "Bacterial small subunit ribosomal RNA", at positions 28 to 507 of the family's 1533-position model. The record is from RNAcentral.